UUAGUUUAGAUGGGUAUCUUGGUCAGCAUGGACUAGUUGGGCCGAAGGGUCUUUUCAGUGCUGUGCGACCCUAUUUCAUAAACAAUGGAGGUAUGAAAUUGACAUUGGUCACAUGCUCUGAUAUUCAUCGUCGAAGUAAUUUCAAGGCAGCAACAUGUGCUGGGCUGUGAAUAAAAGCUCCUGAUCCCUGACUAACACGAGCGUUGUUAUGAGGUGCAAGUAUUUGGUGGAAUCAAAAUUUGCCCCGUCUUGUGAUAGAGAGAAAUCGAAAGCGACUUGGAGCUGCACUGCUUCCUGAUCGAAGUCAUCAGCCCGGACUUUCCCGCGACUGCACCAGCGCUCAGAUAAAUACCAGUCGCACCCGAAAAAAGCCACUUAUUCUGAGACAUCGUCUUUACCUGACGCUGGAACUUGAUUGAUUUAUAUUACAUCGAGUGAAACGGAUAACAAAAGCGGAUGAAACCAUUGAUGCGAACGAACGUCAAACGACCGGAGCCUCAAGGUUCCCCGACAGAUCCAAAAGACCUCAAAGAAGUAGCACGAGAGCUGAGGAAAUUGGGAGAUCUUUUACACCUCAAGCACUUGAUACUUAAUCUCCAACCGGACGACAAUCCCAAGAAAAACUACAGAGACGUAAAGAAAAAAUAAAAAUGGUUUAAAGGUAUUUUACAACGUUUCAUGAAAAAUGAUACUGGAUUGAAUUCAUUGUUGAAGAAAUGAAGGAGAGCAAAAGGGAGGAAGAGCAAGUGGAAUGGAUUCCUGCUGCCUUUAAGCCGUGCCUAUGAGAGAAACUAGAGGACAGACCACAUCUGACGAGCUCCAGACUUACAAGUGUUUGCAGAGGAUGAUUAGCAAGACAAUGAAAAGAGCCAGAAAUAAAAAAAACAUUAGAACUUGAUUUCAAAUAGGCAGUUUGAAAUGGAACUAAUGUCCACAUUUGAGGUGAACGGGCUCAAAAUGACGUGUUUGUGUUAAAUCUUAUGUUACAUCUCUUAAAUGUUUCAAGAAACUACAAAUUAAGCUGAAUUAAGCUUUUUAUAUAAAUAACAUAUUUGUGAGGUGGAUAAAUAAGUGGAAGAAAUAAGAACUAUUAAAUGUCAGAAAAUAUUUUAAAACAUUAAAUGUUUCACUUAAAUAUGACAUAUACUUCCAUUGCUAACUUUGCUUCAUUAUUGAAUGACAUAAAAUUAUCCUCAUGACUUUCAAAUUGUUAAUGUGAUGACUAAUCUAAAAUAAAUACAAUUACUGCCAUUGCA
Long non-coding RNA from Pristis pectinata (smalltooth sawfish), 1256 nucleotides. RefSeq lists it as uncharacterized. NCBI's taxonomy places the organism in Eukaryota, Metazoa, Chordata, Chondrichthyes, Rhinopristiformes, Pristidae. The transcript has 2 exons. The record is from RefSeq and is a predicted model, not a curated record.